CUCGCUGGCCAUCACCUUCCAGCUGCUCCUAGACACGUGAGGGAGACGAUGGACACAGUCUCUGAAGAGUCCGGUGGGAAAGGACCCAAAAUACCCACCGCUGUCCUUUCCUUUCAUCUAUUUCAAAGUAAAAGAAUGAAGGUUGCUAUACAUACGUGUCUGAGCAAAAAUAUCCAUGGAGCAAAUCUGAGAUAGAUGUCUGGAGUUCAGGAAAAAAGGUGAGUGCUCUACCACUGAGCUGUGUUCCCAGCCCUACGUUCAUGACUCCUGACAUCAAAGGAGAGGACCAUGACCCUCUGUCAUUUGUAUCUUUCACCUUUCUAAGAAUUUUAUUCUCUUUCACAUUU
Molecule: long non-coding RNA, 347 nt
Organism: Fukomys damarensis (Damara mole-rat)
Lineage: Eukaryota; Metazoa; Chordata; Mammalia; Rodentia; Bathyergidae
Exons: 3
Source: RefSeq, a predicted model, not a curated record